This is a non-coding RNA of Pelobates cultripes (western spadefoot toad), 1316 nucleotides long. Lineage: Eukaryota; Metazoa; Chordata; Amphibia; Anura; Pelobatidae. The record is from the annotation of a GenBank genome assembly.
CAACAAUAUACCUGGACUGUUAUGCCUCAGGGAGCUCAGAACUCUCCCACACAGUUUGCUCAUGCCAUGUCUCUAGUUUUGGAUCCCUGGCAGAAAUCUCAUCUGGAUGUUAUUCUACUUCAAUAUGUUGAUGACCUCCUUCUCUGUGCUCCUAAUUUGCUUAUUGCAGAGCGUGACUCAGAAGAUCUCCUAUGUUUCCUCGCUGCUGCAGGUUGCAAAACUUCCAAAUCCAAGCUGCAAUGGUGCCGGCCCUCUGUGGUCUUCUUGGGACAUUGUCUUUCCCAUGGCACCAGACAUCUAACUUCUCAGCGUGUACAAGCUAUUUUGCAACUCCCAUUACCUGCAACACAUCAGACUCUUCAUGCCUUCUUGGGUCUUAUCACAUACUGCAGGUCCUGGAUACCCGAAGCAUCAAAGCUCAUGCAGCCACUCUAUGAUGCCCUCAGGAGUGAGCCCUUUCACCUCACUGAAGAAACUAUCAUCUGUUUCCACAAUCUGAAAAGAGCUAUUGCUUCUGCACCUGCCUUGGGCCUACCCAACUACCAACUUCCUUUCAAUCUGUUUGUCUCUGAAAAAUCAGGACAUGCUUCCGGAGUCCUCACCCAGAAACAUGGAUCAAGACAACGACCUAUUGGCUAUUUUUCCUGCAUGCUUGACCCUGUUGCGAGAGGUAGUCCCUUUUGCCUCAGAGCGGUGUUUGCCGCCAGCGCCCUCCUGGACAAGACCAAUGAUUUUGUUCUUGGCCACCACCUCACAGUGUUGGCCCCUCAUGACAUUACUGCAAUCCUGCAACAAACUCAACCUAAGCACCUUUCUUCUCAAUGUUACCUUCGUCUACAAACAUCCUUACUGUUACCUGACAAUGUGAAACUUCAGCGAUGUCUCUCCCUGUACCCGGCCACUCUUCUGCCACUUCCCAAGGGGGGAAUUGUGCAUUACUGGUAUAGCCUGGACAUCAACCCAGAGGUUUGAGCAAUUGUGCAUUACUGGUAUAGCCUGGACAUCAACCCAGAGGUUUGAGCAGAUUUGCAGCUGCCUGCACUUGCACCCCCACAUAAUGAACAAUCAGAGGCCCUACUUCACUGCACCUUAUGGUUUAAAGACAGACCAGGCCCUGAUAUGAACUAUGAGGAAGAAUUAUUCCAGCUCAAGGAAAUUCCAAUUACCCUGACUGACUUGUUAUGGGACCCCACAGGUACCAUGCUCAUCUUAGUCCAUCUUCCAGAGAACAUGACACAUCUCUACCAUCAUUGGGAAACAGCUAUCCCACACAUAUCUCUCACCAGAUCCUCUGACACCUCAUGGAAAGACCUAGG